RNAcentral lists this ribosomal RNA (448 nucleotides) under uncultured bacterium. Its description in RNAcentral is "bacterial SSU rRNA". It matches the Rfam family "Bacterial small subunit ribosomal RNA", at positions 355 to 825 of the family's 1533-position model. The record is from RNAcentral.
UCGGGAAUUUUGGGCAAUGGGGGAAACCCUGACCCAGCAACGCCGCGUGAAGGAUGAAGUAUUUCGGUAUGUAAACUUCGAAAGAAUAGGAAGAAUAAAUGACGGUACUAUUUAUAAGGUCCGGCUAACUACGUGCCAGCAGCCGCGGUAAUACGUAGGGACCAAGCGUUGUUCGGAUUUACUGGGCGUAAAGGGCGCGUAGGCGGCAUGACAAGUCACUUGUGAAAUCUCUGGGCUUAACCCAGAACGGCCAAGUGAUACUGUCGCGCUAGAGUGCAGAAGGGGCAAUCGGAAUUCUUGGUGUAGCGGUGAAAUGCGUAGAUAUCAAGAGGAACACCUGAGGUGAAGACGGGUUGCUGGGCUGACACUGACGCUGAGGCGCGAAAGCCAGGGGAGCAAACGGGGAUUAGAUACCCUAGUAGUCCCUGAGCGGGCUGGCAAGGCGCAU